CACCAGUGAAUAUUGUCCGCUUUGGGUUCACGCCCAGUGUCCUUCCCCUCACGGUUUUGUUUCUGGGUCAAGGGAUUUACUACCCUGUCUUCCCAAAACGCGUCCACUGGGGUGUCCAGGGCUUGACCUUAUAAGGCCCCCACCCUUUCAACAUCUUUCCGAUGUGGGAUACUUUAAAUCCACCUACAAGGGGUAUUACAUUCUUCCCCCCAUAAGGCUUGAGCGUUCUCGCUCAGCACACCGUACUCAUGAGGUCCAGGCUCUGAUACCAAUUGUAACAUCCUCUGGGCCCACACCAGUGAAUAUUGUCCGCUAUGGGUUCACGCCCAGCGUCCUUCCCCUCACGGUUUUGUUUCUGGGUCAAGGGAUUUACUACCCUGUCUUCCCAAAACGCGUCCAAUGGGGUGUCUAGGGCUUGACCUUAUAAGGCCCCCACCCUUUCAACCUCUUUCCGAUGUGGGAUACUUUAAAUCCACCUACAAGGGGUAUUAC
This 492-nucleotide long non-coding RNA is filed under the name Manihot esculenta (cassava). RNAcentral describes it as "long non-coding RNA (MESC_LNC003995)". Lineage: Eukaryota; Viridiplantae; Streptophyta; Magnoliopsida; Malpighiales; Euphorbiaceae. The record is from RNAcentral.